GGAAGGGCGGUAUUUAUUAGAUAACAAGCCAAUAUUCCUUUGGUCUAUUGUGGUGACUCAUAAUAACUGAUCGAAUCGCAAGGCCUAUGGCCGCGAUAAGUCAUUCAAGUUUCUGCCCCAUCAGCUUUCGAUGGUAGUGUAUUGGACUACCAUGGCGUUUACGGGUAACGGAGGAUUAGGGUUCGAUUCCGGAGAGGGAGCCUGAGAAACGGCUACCACAUCUAAGGAUGGCAGCAGGCGCGUAAAUUACCCAAUCCUGAUUCAGGGAGGUAGUG
This 275-nucleotide ribosomal RNA is filed under the name uncultured Spirotrichea. RNAcentral's name for it is "partial small subunit ribosomal RNA". It matches the Rfam family "Eukaryotic small subunit ribosomal RNA", at positions 194 to 469 of the family's 1831-position model. The record is from RNAcentral. Lineage: Eukaryota; Ciliophora; Spirotrichea.